This is a long non-coding RNA of Acanthopagrus latus (yellowfin seabream), 838 nucleotides long. RefSeq lists it as uncharacterized. The transcript is spliced from 3 exons. The record is from RefSeq and is a predicted model, not a curated record. NCBI's taxonomy places the organism in Eukaryota, Metazoa, Chordata, Actinopteri, Spariformes, Sparidae.
AAAUACCACAGGUGACAUGAAGACUAAGUUACAGCAGCUUCCUGAGCAACCAUCAUGCAUGCUGGACCAUCCUGGCCUAGAACCUGUCUGCCUGAAUGUGUUUUCACUGCAGAAUGCACUGAACAUUUAUCGGGCAGACUACGGACCUUUACGUCUGAGGGGAAUAGAGCACCAAUAUAGAUACGUAGCCUACAGAAGCUUUGUAAGCUGGUGCUGGUGCUUUCUGGGGUGGAGAGUGAGAGCUGUGCUGCCUGCCUGCGUGGUGCUGAGGAUUCGUGCAGAGUUCCCUGACACAGAAGGACAGUAUGUUUACAACUGAUUUGGAUCAGGUGUGUUAUUGCUCGGUUGGAAUGAAAACCUGCAGCCACAUGUCCCUUUACUGGAUCAGUUUGACACCACUGUUAUAAAGGGUAACUCCAACGUUGGUUAUCAGGCUCAAAAUUCAUUAUCAGAGCACAGUUGGGACUGCACAGGAUAUUUCCCAGAUCUAUUUAUAUGCAUGAUCAUGACCCAGAUUUAUUUGCCACUACAAUGGCAGCUCCACCAUCAGAUCCCCUGUGGACAACAGGUGGGCUCACUCCCAAGUCUCCGGUUCUCCCCAUCUCGUCACCACUGACAGUGCCAGGGUCAUCUGAACCCACCGGGCUGGUACUCCUCUGGGGUGGAUGGCCUUUUGAAGUUGUUCUUAUUCUCAUUCUAUGAAUGUCAUGUGAAAUGAGGGAGCGAAGCUGCUGGACCAAUGAAAAGGAAACUGAAUCAGGUGUUUCACGCUCUGUUCCUCCUGUUUGUCCAAAGCAUUGGAGGCGAGACUGCUCUUGCCUGACUGUUUAUUCAUGAC